Long non-coding RNA from Stylophora pistillata, 704 nucleotides. The record is from RefSeq and is a predicted model, not a curated record. Lineage: Eukaryota; Metazoa; Cnidaria; Anthozoa; Scleractinia; Pocilloporidae.
UCAGCAGUGUACAUGAAAUUUCGAACCCUAGCUUUUAAACGCAAAGAAGACGAUAAAGAGUACUGCCAAUCUCGUAAAGUUUUCGCCAACAGCAUCUUUCCAGUUCAGCGAAGUUUGAGGCUUUAAAAGCAAUCUGACAACCAUUCGGAGGCGAAAACUGGGAUGUAACAAGUGAGAGAGAAAGUUAACAGAGGGCUCCCUACGUAAAAGAUGACGUAAAGUCAACGAAGCAAGGAAGCCCAAAUGGAGCGUGUAGUGGUCUCUAAGAAAACAAAAGUCGCGAACUGAUCAGAUUCGAGCUUCAGAUAAAUUCGUACCCAUGAGAGUUGCAUAAAACUAUGAAACAUAUUUCUAAACCAAGCAACAUGCAAUACAUCGCUUUCAAUUCUAUAUUUCUGUUAAAUAUAAUUAACUACAAAUAAAAGUAAGCCAAUCCAGAUGAAUUUUUGCAUUCUCACUAGCGCUAAAGGGCCGCAUCCGCUGGAGGGAAAGUUAACAACUUCCCUAGCAGUACCAGUGGCGCUUGCACUGCCAUCUUUUUCAUCUUCUUUUGAGUUUUAUCAACUAGUGUCGAUGAUCGACACUAGUUGCAUUCAGGGUGACGUUUUCUUACAGACCAUCUCUGUAGUUGUGACAAUAUUUCGCCUCGAGCGAGCAGUUUCCCCGUAAGAGGAUGUAGAUUCGAAGAUACAAUCUUCUCGGUU